GGAUGAACGCUGACAGAAUGCUUAACACAUGCAAGUCUAUGAGAAGAUCUACUUCGGUAGAAGGUUAUCAAGGCGGACGGGUGAGUAACGCGUAAAGAACUUGCCUCUUAGACUGGGAUAACAGAUGGAAACGUCUGAUAAGACUAGAUAUAAUAAUGACAUGGCAUCAUGUUGUUAUGAAAGGUAACACUAAGAGAGAGCUUUGCGUCCUAUUAGUUAGUUGGUGAGGUAAUGGCUCACCAAGACGAUGAUAGGUAGCCGGCCUGAGAGGGUGAACGGCCACAAGGGGACUGAGAUACGGCCCUUACUCUUACGGGAGGCAGCAGUGGGGAAUAUUGGACAAUGGAGGAAACUCUGAUCCAGCAAUUCUGUGUGCACGAUGAAGGUUUUCGGAUCGUAAAGUGCUUUCAGUAGGGAAGAAGAAAGUGACGGUACCUACAGAAGAAGCGACGGCUAAAUACGUGCCAGCAGCCGCGGUAAUACGUAUGUCGCAAGCGUUAUCCGGAAUUAUUGGGCGUAAAGGGCAUCUAGGCGGUCAAUCAAGUCGAAGGUGAAAACUUGUGGCUCAACCAUAAGCUUGCCUACGAAACUGAUUAACUAGAGUACUGGAGAGGUGGACGGAACUACACGAGUAGAGGUGAAAUUCGUAGAUAUGUGUAGGAAUGCCGAUGAUGAAGAUAGUUCACUGGACAGAAACUGACGNNGAAGUGCGAAAGCUAGGGGAGCAAACAGGAUUAGAUACCCUGGUAGUCCUAGCUGUAAACGAUGAUCACUGGGUGUGGGCAGGAAGACUGUCUGUGCCGAAGCUAACGCGAUAAGUGAUCCGCCUGGGGAGUACGACCGCAAGGUUGAAACUCAAAGGAAUUGACGGGGGCCCGCACAAGCGGUGGAGCAUGUGGUUUAAUUCGAAGCAACGCGCAGAACCUUACCAACCCUUGACAUGGCGAUCGCGGUUCCAGAGAUGGUUCCUUCAGUUCGGCUGGAUCGCACACAGGUGCUGCAUGGCUGUCGUCAGCUCGUGUCGUGAGAUGUUCGGUUAAGUCCGGCAACGAGCGCAACCCACACUCUUAGUUGCCAUCAUUCAGUUGGGCACUCUAGGAGAACUGCCGGUGAUAAGCCGGAGGAAGGUGUGGAUGACGUCAAGUCCUCAUGGCCCUUACGGGUUGGGCUACACACGUGCUACAAUGGUGGUGACAAUGGGUUAAUCCCAAAAAGCCAUCUCAGUUCGGAUUGGGGUCUGCAACUCGACCCCAUGAAGUCGGAAUCGCUAGUAAUCGCGUAACAGCAUGACGCGGUGAAUACGUUCCCGGGCCU
This 1314-nucleotide ribosomal RNA is filed under the name uncultured bacterium. RNAcentral's name for it is "bacterial SSU rRNA". It matches the Rfam family "Bacterial small subunit ribosomal RNA", at positions 27 to 1381 of the family's 1533-position model. The record is from RNAcentral.